Long non-coding RNA from Equus asinus (donkey), 3015 nucleotides. NCBI's taxonomy places the organism in Eukaryota, Metazoa, Chordata, Mammalia, Perissodactyla, Equidae. The record is from Ensembl.
AUGGUAGUUUCUGUUUUCUGCACUGAAUUCCAAAUCCUGGGGGAGGGGCCCUAGGACAAGAGAUAAUAAGAGGGGCCGAAAGCAAGCAGGGCAGGAACAGUGUGGCAGGAAGCUGGGGCCAUGGAGGGAUGUGGCCCAGAAGAAGUCUGCUGUGUUAGAGGAGGCCCGUGAAUUUUAGGAACUCUGAUUUCUAACUUCGAUGGCAUGUCCUGCCCAUGGGCUCAUUUCCCUGUCUUCCCAUGAAACCUCCAGUAAAUGUCUGGUGCCAAGCAACCUAUAUCAGUGGUUCUCAGUAACGAAGGGCAGUAUGGCAGCUCCUGAGUGGCAGGUGACCAGCAACACAAUGCCCUGAGGCCAGAGAGGAGGCCAUGCUGACCACAGGGGCUGGAUAACCCUGAAGGAGCCAGCUGUAGCAGGGACUGACCCAGGAGCUGACAUGAACCAAGCUCCCCCUCCUUCUGAGACCCCUAAGAGGGUCCAACCCAGGAUGCCACGUUGCUUUCAGUUGUCAUGUCUCUUUAUUCUUCUUUAAUCUGGAACAGUUCCUCAGUCUUGUCUUUCAUGGCCUUGACAUUUUUGAAGAGUUAUUCUGCAGAUCAGCGCUGCUCAAUAUAACUUUUUUUUUUUUAACUAUCCAGUAGAACUUUCUGGGAGAUAGAAAAUUAUGAAAUCUAUAUCUGUGCUGUCCAAUAUGAUAGCCACAUGAAAAUCACAUUUGGAAUGUGGCUAGCAGGGGUGAGGAACUGAAUUUUACAUUUUAUUUAAUUUUAAUUAAAAUAGCUACAUGUGGCAAGUGGCUACUGUAUUGGACAGGACAGCUGUUGAAUGUCCCUCAUUUGGGGUUUGUUUGAUGUUUCUUCAUGAUUCGCUUCAGAUUAUGAGUUUUAGCAAGGAUACCAUAGAUGUGAUGUUGUGUCUACCUUUGGUUCCCCGCCAAGAUGGCAGGAAACCACUGAGGCUAGGAUUUUUAUUGUGGCAAAAUAUAUAUAAAAUUUACCAUUUUAACCAUUUUUAAGUGUACAGUUCUGUGGCAGUAAGGACAUUCACAUUGUUGUGCAUGUGUCCCCACCAUCCAUCUCUAGAACUUUCUCACCUUCCCAAACUGAAACCCUCUACCCAUUAAACAAAAACUCCCCAUUCCCCCUCCCCCAGCCCCUGGCAACCACCAUCCUACUCUCGGUCUCUAUGAAGCUGACUACUCUAGGGGCCUCAUAUAAGUGGAAUCAUACAGUAUUUGUCCUUUUGCAAAUGGCUUAUUUCACUUAGCAUAAUGUCUUCAAAGUUCGACCAUGUUAUGGCAUUUGUUAGAAUUUCCUUCCUUUUUAAUGUAUUCCAUUGUAUGAAUAUACUACAUUGUGUCCAUCAGUAGACAUCUGGGUUGGUUGCUUCUACUUUUUGGCUAUCGUGAAUAAUGCUGCUAUGAACGUAGGUACACAAAUAUCUGUUUGAGUUCCUGCCUCCAUUUCUUUGGGUAUGUAUCCAGAAGUGGAAUUGUUGGAUCAUAUAGUAAUUCUAUUUUUAAUUUUUUGAGGAACUGCCAUACUAUUUUCCACAGCAGCUGCACCAUUUCACAUUCCCACCAGCAAUGUACAAGGGUUCCAAUUUCUCCACGUCCCUGCCAACACUUGUCAUUUUCUGUUUGUUGUAUAAUAGCCACCCUAAUGGUUGAUAUCUGCUAUAAACUGAAUGUUUAUGCCUACCCCUCCAAUUCAUAUAUUGAAACCUAAUCCCUAAGGGGAUGGUAUUUGGAGGUGGGGCCUUUGGGAGGUGAUUAGGUCAUAAGGGUGAAGCCCUGAUGAAUGGAAUUAGUGCUCUUUUUAGGAGACCCAAAAGAGCUCCCUUGAGGACACAGCGAGAAGACGGCGUCUGGGAACCAGGAAGCAGCCCUUACCAAACGUGGAACUGCAGGCACCUUGACCCUGGACUUCCCAGCCUUCAGAACUGGGAAAUAAUGUUUGUUGUUUAAGCCACUCAGUCUGUGAUAUUUUUGUUAUAGCAGCCCGAAUGGACUAAGAAAGUAUCUCAUUGUGUUUUUGAGGAAGCUAUAUUUUUUUAAUACCCUGCGAGAUGCAGCAAAGACGGGUGACAACAGCAUUUGGAAGCCAGUCACCACACUCCCAAUGUUCUUCCUGCACGAAUUAGAUAUGAGGUCACUGGACUUGGGGUGGGUAGCAGGCAGGAGCAAUUCUCGAACCAAUCAAUAUUCACCCUCUCUUGGCUAAACAAGACAGGGCUGACUUUAUUAGUUGAGUUCAGGUCUGAUAUUAACACUUUGUAAAUGCUGAAUAUUGUGAAAUAUCCACAGAGUUACCCACUAAACUAACAAAAUCUUACCUAAAGAGUGUCCAGGCAUCUUCCUACAAUUCAGUCUGGGAUUCAGUACUGGCUUUGGAGACAGGUAUGUACUGACGCAUUUGCACAUGAUUUCUGCCAAACCUCUUAACCCCUCAGUGUCUUUCUUCCUUUUUUAAGUUGCAGUAUAAAGUGUAACAAUAAGUGUACAGUUGAUGCAUUUUUACAUAUGCCCAGGCUCAUGUACCCACCACUCACAUCAAGAUAUAGAACAUCUCCAUCCCCCUAGAAAGCUCCCUUGUAGCCCAUCCGUCACCAUCCCCCAGGGGUUAACCAGUGAAAUGAUUUCUACUUAUGUAGAUGAGGUUUACCUGUUUUUGAAUUUUACCUUUCCUUGUAACUGGAAACAGUGGCAUGUACUCUUUGUGCUUGACUUGGUUAGUGCCCAUUCAUCCCGGUUAGAUUCAUCCAUGUUGUGUGUAUCAAUCAUUUGUUCUUUUUCACUGCUGUAUACUAUUCCAUGAUAUCAGCACAUUACAGUUUGUUUCUCCAUUUUCCUGCCGAUGGACAUUUGGUUGUUUCCAGAGUUUUCCUGUUGUGAAUAAAGCCACUAUGAACACCAUCUUUUGUGCGUGUUUUUAGGUGGACACACACCCAGGAGUGGUUGACGGGUGAUAGGAUUGGCACAUAUUUAACUUUAGAAAGGGCUGCCAAACAUUUUCC